This 301-nucleotide ribosomal RNA is filed under the name Alphaproteobacteria bacterium. Its description in RNAcentral is "bacterial SSU rRNA". It matches the Rfam family "Bacterial small subunit ribosomal RNA", at positions 29 to 339 of the family's 1533-position model. The record is from RNAcentral. Lineage: Bacteria; Pseudomonadati; Pseudomonadota; Alphaproteobacteria.
AACGAACGCUGGCGGCAGGCUUAACACAUGCAAGUUGAACGGGAUUUAGCUUGUGCUUGCACGAGCUAAUGAGAGUAGCGCACUGGUGAGUAACACGUGGGAACGUACAUUUUAGUGGGGGACAACAGAGGGAAACUUCUGCUAAUACCGCAUACGCCCUGAGGGGGAAAGAUUUAUCGCUAAGAUAUCGGCCCGCGGCAGAUUAGGUAGUUGGUGGGGUAAAGGCCUACCAAGCCUACGAUCUAUAGCUGGUCUGAGAGGACGAUCAGCCACAUUGGAACUGAGACACGGUCCAGACUCC